Molecule: ribosomal RNA, 871 nt
Filed under: uncultured bacterium
Lineage: Bacteria
Description: bacterial SSU rRNA
Rfam family: Bacterial small subunit ribosomal RNA
Source: RNAcentral
GGAUGAACGCUAGCGGCAGACUUAAUACAUGUGAGUCGAGGGGCAGCGCAUCCUUCCGAGGAUGCCGGCGACCGGCGAACGGGUGAGUAACACGUAUGGAACCUACCCUUAACUGGGGAAUAGCCUUGAGAAAUCGAGGGUAAUACCCCAUAUUAUCACAAGAGGACAUCCUCUUGUAAUGAAAGCUCCGGCGGUUAAGGAUGGUCAUGCGGUCCAUUAGCUUGUUGGUGAGGUAACUGCUCACCAAGGCCGCGAUGGAUAGCUGAUCUGAGAGGAUGAUCAGCCACAUUGGCACUGAGACACGGGCCAAACUCCUACGGGAGGCAGCAGUAGGGAAUCUUGGUCAAUUGGCGAAAGCCAGAACCAGUCAUGCCGCGUGCAGGAUGAAGGCCCUAAGGGUCGUAAACUGCUUUUAUUCGGGAAGAAAAAGUCUGUUUCCACAGACCUUGACGGUACCGAUUGAAUAAGGACCGGCCAACUCCGUGCCAGCAGCCGCGGUAAUACGGAGGGUCCAAGCGUUAUCCGGAUUCACUGGGUUUAAAGGGUGCGCAGGCGGCUAAGUAAGUCAGUGGUGAAAGCCUUCGGCUCAACCGGAGAAUUGCCAUUGAAACUACUUAGCUUGAGUGCAGUAGAGGUAGGCGGAAUGUAGCAUGUAGCGGUGAAAUGCAUAGAUAUGCUACAGAACACCGAUAGCGAAAGCAGCUUACCACAUUGCAACUGACGCUGAGGCACGAAAGCAUGGGUAGCAAACAGGAUUAGAUACCCUGGUAGUCCAUGCCGUAAACUUUGAACACUCGGAGUUUGUCGCCUAGCGAUAAGCUCCCUAGCGAAAGCGUUAAGUGUUCCACCUGGGGAGUACGGCCGCAAGGCU